AUAUACUACAGACUCAUGAUAAGUUAAGAUUUGGUAAUAUAGAAUUACUUUGUUUUCCUAAUAGUAAUAUUAGUUUUAAGACACUUUCUCAUAUUUCAGUUACAAAAGCAGAAAAAUGUAUUUUAGACAAUUUAUGGAUUUCUUACAAUAAGAAUCCAAAAGACCAAAAAUAUUUUUUAGCAUGUUUAAAUGCUCUUUCAGAACAUUUUAGUCAAGAUCAUAAGCAAUUUAAAUGUUAUGUUGUUUUAAAUGGAAGACUCCCAGGAAUAUAUCAUACCUGGUUAGAAGUUUCAGAUUGUAUUAAGAAUUUUCCAAAUCCUUUUUACAAAGGAUUUUAUUCAAUUUCAGAAGCAUUAGAAGAAUGUAGAAAAUUUAUAGGUGCAAAUUAUUUUAUUGCUCCUUCUUUAAAAAAUGUUUCAGAUCAACCUUUAGAUUAUUCUUCAAGAUUUUGUGAUCAUUGUGAAUGUAUGACAAAGAAUUUUAAGAUUUUAAAUGAAUCAAACCAGACUUUACAACAAGAAAAAUUAAUUUUACAACAGAAAAUCUCUGAUUUAGAACAAGAGAUUAUUAAUUUAAAAAUUUUUAAUCCAAUUGUUCAGACAGAAGCAGGUACUAUAGAGCCCAAGAAUUCUAUAGCUAGUCCAGCUCAAACGGAAGCUGGUAAAGACUUAUCAAAUCCGUUGAUGGUUAUGGGUUUACCAAAAACUCAACAGACUCAGAGGACUGUUGAUUCCUCUACUUCUCAGACUCAACAGGCUGAAAAUCCUGUUACAUUUAAUUCAGAAGAACAGAUACAGCAGACUGAUAAUUCUAUUACUAGACUUGUUAGUCCAAUAGACCUUAAACAGAAAAGCCCAAUUAAUUUUCUAGGAUCAUUCCAAUCAGCUCAGGAUCCAGAAAAGAUUUCUCAAUCAGACAUUAGAAAGAUCAAAGAAAUGUUUGAAAAGAUUGAGGAGAUUCAGCAACAAGUUAAACAAAGUACUACGAAGAAAAAGAAACUACAAAUUAAAAAGAAAAAUAAAGGAAAAAAGAAGAUUGAACAAGA
Molecule: long non-coding RNA, 1045 nt
Filed under: Olea europaea (common olive)
Lineage: Eukaryota; Viridiplantae; Streptophyta; Magnoliopsida; Lamiales; Oleaceae
Description: long non-coding RNA (OEUR_LNC005989)
Source: RNAcentral